This 504-nucleotide ribosomal RNA is filed under the name uncultured fungus. RNAcentral's name for it is "SSU rRNA". It matches the Rfam family "Eukaryotic small subunit ribosomal RNA", at positions 248 to 755 of the family's 1831-position model. Lineage: Eukaryota; Fungi. The record is from RNAcentral.
GAUUCAUAAUAACUUAACGAAUCGCAUGGCCUUGCGCCGGCGAUGGUUCAUUCAAAUUUCUGCCCUAUCAACUUUCGAUGGUAGGAUAGUGGCCUACCAUGGUCUCAACGGGUAACGGGGAAUUAGGGUUCUAUUCCGGAGAGGGAGCCUGAGAAACGGCUACCACAUCCAAGGAAGGCAGCAGGCGCGCAAAUUACCCAAUCCCAAUUCGGGGAGGUAGUGACAAUAAAUACUGAUACGGGGCUCUUUUGGGUCUCGUAAUUGGAAUGAGUACAAUCUAAAUCCCUUAACGAGGAACAAUUGGAGGGCAAGUCUGGUGCCAGCAGCCGCGGUAAUUCCAGCUCCAAUAGCGUAUAUUAAAGUUGUUGCCGUUAAAAAGCUCGUAGUUGAACCUUGGCCCUGGCUGAUCUGUCCUCCUAAUCGAGCGCACGGAUUCGGUCGGGGCUUUCCUUCUGGGGAGCCCUAUGCCCUUCAUUGGGUGUAGUGGGGAACCAGGACUUUUAC